CCUACGAGUGGCAGCAGUCGAGAAUCAUUCACAAUGGGGGAAACCCUGAUGGUGCGACGCCGCGUGGGGGAAUGAAGGUCUUCGGAUUGUAAACCCCUGGCAUGUGGGAGCAAAUUAAAAAGAUAGUACCAAAAGAGGAAGAGACGGCUAACCCUGUGCAAGCAGCCGAGGUAAUAAAGAGGUAUCAAGCGUUGUUCGGAAUCACUGGGCGUAAAGCGUGCGUAGACUGUUGCGUAAGUCGUGUGGGAAAGGAGCGGGCCCAACCCGCGGACGGCACAUGAUACUGCGAGACUAGAGUAAUGGAGGGGGAACCGGAAUUCUCGGUGUAGCAGUGAAAUGCGGAGAUAUCGAGAGGAACACUCGUGGCGAAGGCGGGUUCCUGGACAUUAACUGACGCUGAGGCACGAAGGCCAGGGGAGCGAAAGGGAUUAGAUACCCGGGUAGUC
RNAcentral lists this ribosomal RNA (446 nucleotides) under uncultured bacterium. RNAcentral describes it as "partial 16S ribosomal RNA". It matches the Rfam family "Bacterial small subunit ribosomal RNA", at positions 338 to 795 of the family's 1533-position model. The record is from RNAcentral.